This 550-nucleotide long non-coding RNA is filed under the name Heterocephalus glaber (naked mole-rat). RNAcentral describes it as "lncRNA (ENSHGLG00100035632.1)". Lineage: Eukaryota; Metazoa; Chordata; Mammalia; Rodentia; Bathyergidae. The record is from RNAcentral.
CUUCGACCUUAGACCGAGAGCUAAGCCCGGCGCAGGCGCGCUCCCCGCCCCAAUUGCUCUGCUAGAGAGCGCGGCGGGCUGUGGGCGUCCUGAGCGGUGAGAGAGCCCCAGCCUGCUGCUCAGUACUGUAGUGGGAGCUAGGGAAAAACUCAGUGUGAUGAAGGAUGGUGCUGUAUCCUGUGUCCUUCUCCGAUCCUACUGCUGUCUCUCUGCACUAGGUGAGUGCCUCGCUACCUACAGUAUCCAGAGCACUGAUUUGCCACCUUAACACUGCUCACAGCACCUAUGAUGAUUCCUAUAGACCCUUUUUCUCUAGGUCUUCCCCUGCUCUCUGUUUCCUGGAUGCCAUGAGUUGAGCAGCUUUCCUCCUUCACGUCCUUCCACCUUGAUGUUCCUGCCUUGGAAUGAGCUGACCAUAAACUGAAACCUCUGAAACUCUGAGCAAAAUAAACCUCUCCUCUUUAGCUGUGGAUGUCUGGUAUUUUGUGCCAGCAGCAAGAAAGCUGAGCAAGACACAGGGAUUAUGGGCAUCUUUGGAGGCCAUUGUUCU